RNAcentral lists this ribosomal RNA (486 nucleotides) under uncultured bacterium. RNAcentral describes it as "partial 16S ribosomal RNA". It matches the Rfam family "Bacterial small subunit ribosomal RNA", at positions 29 to 507 of the family's 1533-position model. The record is from RNAcentral.
AUUGAACGCUGGCGGCAUGCCUUACACAUGCAAGUCGAACGGCAGCACGGGUGCUUGCACCUGGUGGCGAGUGGCGAACGGGUGAGUAAUACAUCGGAACAUGUCCUGUAGUGGGGGAUAGCCCGGCGAAAGCCGGAUUAAUACCGCAUACGAUCUACGGAUGAAAGCGGGGGACCUUCGGGCCUCGCGCUAUAGGGUUGGCCGAUGGCUGAUUAGCUAGUUGGUGGGGUAAAGGCCUACCAAGGCGACGAUCAGUAGCUGGUCUGAGAGGACGACCAGCCACACGGGGACGGAGACACGGCCCAGACUCCUACGGGAGGCAGCAGUGGGGAAUUUUGGACAAUGGGCGAAAGCCUGCUCCAGCAAUGCCGCGUGUGUGAAGAAGGCCUUCGGGUUGUAAAGCACUUUUGUCCGGAAAGAAAUCCUUGGCCCUAAUACGGUCGGGGGAUGACGGUACCGGAAGAAUAAGCACCGGCUAACUACGUG